Molecule: ribosomal RNA, 281 nt
Filed under: uncultured prokaryote
Description: partial 16S ribosomal RNA
Rfam family: Bacterial small subunit ribosomal RNA
Source: RNAcentral
UACGUAGGGAGCGAGCGUUGUCCGGAAUUACUGGGCGUAAAGGGCGCGUAGGUGGGCGUUUAAGUCAGAUGUGAAAACUCCGGGCUCAACCGUAGUAAGCCUUUGAAACUGGGAAACUUGAGUGCAGGAGAGGAGAGUGGAAUUCCUAGUGUAGCGGUGAAAUGCGUAGAUAUUAGGAGGAACACCAGUUGCGAAGGCGGCUCUCUGGACUGUAACUGACACUGAGGCACGAAAGCGUGGGGAGCAAACAGGAUUAGAUACCCGGGUAGUCCCUGAGCGGG